CCAAUAGCGUAUAUUAAAGUUGUUGCAGUUAAAAAGCUCGUAGUUGAAUUUCGGGAUUGACGUGACGGUCGUGCCUUAAGGGGUAUGAACUGUCGCCGUUGAUUUCUCACCUUCUGGAGAAGCUCGAUGUCCUUAAUUGGAUGUCUUGUGGAACCAGGACCUUUACCUUGAAAAAAUUAGAGUGUUUAAAGCAGGCAUUUUGCUCGAAUACAUUAGCAUGGAAUAAUAGAAUAGGACGGCAUGGUUCUAUUUUGUUGGUUUCUAGGAUCACCGUAAUGAUUAAUAGGGAUAGUUGGGGGCAUUAGUAUUCAAUUGUCAGAGGUGAAAUUCUUGGAUUUAUUGAAGACUAACUACUGCGAAAGCAUUUGCCAAGGAUGUUUUCAUUAAUCAAGAACGAAAGUUAGGGGAUCGAAGACGAUCAGAUACCGUCGUAGUCUUAACCAUAAACUAUGCCGACUAGGAAUCAGACGAUGUUAAUUUUUUAAUGACUCGUUUGGCACCUUACG
RNAcentral lists this ribosomal RNA (506 nucleotides) under uncultured Glomeromycotina. Its description in RNAcentral is "SSU rRNA". It matches the Rfam family "Eukaryotic small subunit ribosomal RNA", at positions 591 to 1092 of the family's 1831-position model. Lineage: Eukaryota; Fungi; Glomeromycota. RNAcentral also lists the same sequence under 1 other name. The record is from RNAcentral.